This 233-nucleotide ribosomal RNA is filed under the name uncultured bacterium. RNAcentral describes it as "partial 16S ribosomal RNA". It matches the Rfam family "Bacterial small subunit ribosomal RNA", at positions 122 to 354 of the family's 1533-position model. The record is from RNAcentral.
UAACCUGCCUUGGAGUGGGGAAUAACAGCUGGAAACAGCUGCUAAUACCGCAUGAUGCAGUUGGGUCGCAUGGCUCUGACUGCCGAAGAUUUAUCGCUCUGAGAUGGACUCGCGUCUGAUUAGCUAGUUGGCGGGGCAACGGCCCACCAAGGCGACGAUCAGUAGCCGGACUGAGAGGUUGGCCGGCCACAUUGGGACUGAGACACGGCCCAGACUCCUACGGAAGGCAGCAG